UUGGAGUGUUACCACAAUUGUGUAAUCGAGUCUGUGAUAGAGUCUGUAAUCGAGUUUGGAGCACUUUGGAAGGAAGUUAAUCCUGCCGCCAUUUUCAUUUCCGCUUUGCAAUUUAUUCAACCCUCCGAUUGGAGCAGGUUUUUAUUACUUGUCUUUAUCUUAUUUAUUUUCCCGCACUCGCUUUACUUUAUUUAUUUCCCCGCACUCGCUUUACUUUAUUUAUUUCUCGCACUCGCUUUACUUUAUUUAUUUCUCGCACUCGCUUUACUUUAUUUAUUUCCUCGCACUCGCUUUAAAUUAUUUAUUUCCUCGCACUCGCUUUAAAUUAUUUAUUUCCUCGCACUCGCUUU
RNAcentral lists this long non-coding RNA (350 nucleotides) under Lathyrus oleraceus (garden pea). RNAcentral's name for it is "Pisum sativum (pea) long non-coding RNA (PSAT_LNC031721)". The record is from RNAcentral. Lineage: Eukaryota; Viridiplantae; Streptophyta; Magnoliopsida; Fabales; Fabaceae.